RNAcentral lists this unclassified non-coding RNA (234 nucleotides) under plant metagenome. RNAcentral's name for it is "partial contains small subunit ribosomal RNA, internal transcribed spacer 1, and 5.8S ribosomal RNA". The record is from RNAcentral.
AUUCCGUAGGUGAACCUGCGGAAGGAUCAUUACCGAGUGAGGGCCCUCUGGGUCCAACCUCCCACCCGUGUUUAUUUACCUUGUUGCUUCGGCGAGCCUGCCUUUUGGCUGCCGGGGGACGUCAGUCCCCGGGUCCGUGCUCGCCGGAGACACCUUAGAACUCUGUCUGAAGAUUGUAGUCUGAGAUUAAAUAUAAAUUAUUUAAAACUUUCAACAACGGAUCUCUUGGUUCCG